UGGGGAAUAUUGGACAAUGGGCGAAAGCCUGAUCCAGCAAUGCCGCGUGAGUGAAGAAGGCCUUAGGGUUGUAAAGCUCUUUCGCCCGCGACGAUGAUGACGGUAGCGGGAGAAGAAGCCCCGGCUAAUUCCGUGCCAGCAGCCGCGGUAAUACGGAAGGGGCUAGCGUUGUUCGGAAUCACUGGGCGUAAAGCGCGCGUAGGCGGCCGGUCAAGUGCGGCGUGAAAGUCCUGGGCUCAACCCGGGGACGGCGCUGCGGACUGUCCGGCUGGAGUCCGGAAGAGGGUGGUGGAAUUCCGAGUGUAGAGGUGAAAUUCGUAGAUAUUCGGAGGAACACCGGUGGCGAAGGCGGCCACCUGGUCCGGUACUGACGCUCAAGCGAGGAAGCGUGGGGAGCAAACAGG
RNAcentral lists this ribosomal RNA (404 nucleotides) under Bacillota bacterium. RNAcentral's name for it is "Firmicutes bacterium partial 16S ribosomal RNA". It matches the Rfam family "Bacterial small subunit ribosomal RNA", at positions 355 to 776 of the family's 1533-position model. Lineage: Bacteria; Bacillati; Bacillota. The record is from RNAcentral.